UACAAACCACCCUGCCCUACAAUCAGAUGUGAUUUCCUUACAAAAUACUACACUUCAUAACAGAACGUUAGCCAUUCUUCAAGUUUUCAACAAAACUUCUUGCAACCAAGUGAUUCUAAUGAGAGUUAUUAAAACCUUAGCAACGUAAAAUCUUACGGUUCUAAAGGAGUACAGUGCAAUAUUUUUCAAGAAUAUCAUAAAGAUUUUUCUCUACCCCAGGUAUGUUAAGGCUAUCCCUUCUUUAUUUUUGGCAUGAUCCGUACGAUUCAAACGAAACGAGCAAAUGCACAACUUCCAUAAAUGACUCUAUUCAUAGAAGUAUUAGAAGUGACUAUAUUCUUGAAUUCCCAUGUAUCUUAUUAUUCUAUCAUUUGUUCAUGGGUCUCAGAAAAUACAUAAGUUGAUAAAGUUUAUUUCAUGAUAUUAAUCAAAGGCAUAGUGGUCUUAUAACACUCCGAAAGAUUUUAUUGACUUAUUUAUCAUGCAUUGCAUUCAUUUAUAUUGACCCAUGACCAGAUAGCGUUAUAUACAUGUAUAUGGGAUAUGGAAAAAAGUUACGGCGUUAUAUAUGCACCACCACCUUAUCAACUGGUAUACGUUGAUGAUUUGCCCAUAAUGGCCGAGAUGAUAUGAUGAGAUGCCCCCAGAGGCUUGAUGAUGUUAUGAACGCAUAUACCCAUGCAUGAUAUGACUUUUAUAUGUAUAUGCAUGACGUUUUAAAUAUUAAAAGAUUCAUAAAGUUGUUCAGACUUACAUGUCGAGUCUUUUACUCCAUGUUUUAUGUCUAUUAUUUACUGAUUUUCAUUCCUUACAUACUCGGUACAUUAUUUGUACUGACGUCCCUUUUGCCUGGGGACACUGCGUUUCAUGCCCGCAGGUCCCGAUAGACAGGUCGAGAGCCCUCCAAGUAAGCUAUCAGCUGAGCGGAAGAUGUUGGUGGGCUCCAUUUGUUUCGGAGUUACUUGUUUGGUUAGUAUGAUUUAAACGUAUUUUGUUUGGUAUGGCGGGACUCUAUCCCGACCUUUAUGAAAAUUAUGUAUUCUUAGAGGCUUGUAGACAGAUGUCAUGUACGUAAAAGAUUAUAUGGGCUUGUCGGCCUACGUUCAGUAUACGAGUGGUUAUUUUGGCCUUAUAGGCCCGUAUGUCUUAUGUAUAAGUUGGUAUCACAUGUUGUAUUCUACUUAUCUCACGGUAGCCUUCCGACUCAGUUAUCUAUGAUAGUAUGACAUGAAAAGAUACGUUAUGUAG
RNAcentral lists this long non-coding RNA (1248 nucleotides) under Nicotiana tabacum (common tobacco). RNAcentral describes it as "long non-coding RNA (NTAB_LNC006695)". Lineage: Eukaryota; Viridiplantae; Streptophyta; Magnoliopsida; Solanales; Solanaceae. The record is from RNAcentral.